Molecule: small nuclear RNA, 113 nt
Filed under: Crocodylus porosus (Australian saltwater crocodile)
Lineage: Eukaryota; Metazoa; Chordata; Crocodylia; Crocodylidae
Description: U5 spliceosomal RNA (ENSCPRG00005016503.1)
Rfam family: U5 spliceosomal RNA
About the family: U5 RNA is a component of both types of known spliceosome. The precise function of this molecule is unknown, though it is known that the 5' loop is required for splice site selection and p220 binding, and that both the 3' stem-loop and the Sm site are important for Sm protein binding and cap methylation.
Source: RNAcentral
UUACUCUGGUUUCUUUUCAGAUAAUAUACAUCUUUAUCCUUUUAUUAAGCAUUUCUGUGUAGAGGAACAGUCAUGAGUCUUGAACCAAUUUUUUGUGGGUGCACACCCACGCA